RNAcentral lists this unclassified non-coding RNA (200 nucleotides) under fungal sp. Its description in RNAcentral is "partial internal transcribed spacer 2". Lineage: Eukaryota; Fungi. The record is from RNAcentral.
UUAAGUUCAGCGGGUAUUCCUACCUGAUCCGAGGUCAACCUUGAUAAAAUAUGACGGGGAGACGGCCCCCGCGAGCCCACUCUGAUGCGUGCUUUGGAAGAAGCUCAUUGCACCGAGGGUCCCACGGACGCCGUCAUUGUCUUUGAGACCGGUCCGCCGGAGCGGCGACCUGAGGUCCAACAACAAGCCAGGCUUGAGGG